This is a long non-coding RNA of Equus quagga, 1757 nucleotides long. RefSeq lists it as uncharacterized. The transcript is spliced from 3 exons. Lineage: Eukaryota; Metazoa; Chordata; Mammalia; Perissodactyla; Equidae. The record is from RefSeq and is a predicted model, not a curated record.
UCCUGACCCCUCCCCGCCAGCGGCGGGAGGGCCGUGUGCCUCCGGGCUCCUGUACCGUCCUGGGAAGACGGACUGGAGCGAGCGGCAGAGAGCGCGCAGGGCCAGGCAUCUUCCGGCCCCUGCGGCCGCCGGGGGCGCGUACAGCCCCGCGGGUGGAAGGAGGGCACCCGCCGCCGGAGCCUGCGGGCGCAUCCCGCGCGUUCACGGGGCACCCAGCGCGAGCUGGGCGCGGGGAUCCCACGUGUGAAAAAGGAGGAAAUACAUUCAGACGUGCGAUGUGGCCGGAGAUGAGACUGGAGACGUCAGCAGAGGCUAAUCGCCGAGUCCUUGAAGGGUCUGAGGCCAAAGAUGGGGGCAGGGCAGGUCCACGUGACAAGGUGCACGGCGUGGUCAUGAGGAGCGGCUGACGUGAAAUGGGGAAGGUGACUGGAGUCCCAUAAUCUGCGCCAGGCACGGCGGGACACCCUCAAGCAGCUUCCAGCCACGAGAGCAGACGUGCAGGCGGCUUGGCCCGGUGCCACAGCCGGAGCCGUGAGAAGACGGUGCGGGCAGGGGAAACUCGCUGCCAGGAGCGCGGCUGCACAGAGGAGAGCGGUGCAGGCUCCCGGGCACAGAGCAACCCACGCAGAGGCUGUGGCUCACAGCCUGCCUUUGUGCACAGAGUAGACAAAACAGUAGUCGUAAGACAGGCCAAACCAACGUCUGCAGCCACGGCUCAGGACUGCAGGCCUGCCUCUGCAGGGACAGCGAGCAGAGAAGACCAUGAGGGGCCUCGGGUGCUGUGAUGUCCUGUUCCUUGAUCUGGCUGCUGGUUAGACAAGUGUGUUGUUUGCGAAAAGGAAGCCGUAUGUACCACUUACAAACGUGCACUUUUCUCUAUGUUUAUCACAGUUCAAUAAAAAAUUUUAAAGACGACACAACAGUGCCCUGAAAGCAGCAGUGCGACACCAGGUGGCUGUAGCAGUGUGAUCUAGAGCAAUGCACUUCCCUGCUCUGAGCCUCAGGUGGUCUUUUAAUUUGGGGCGACCUUGCUUUGCUUUCUUCCUAAGCUGUUAUGAAAGUCAAAUUAUGAGACCAAGCAACAACGACAGCAACAGACUACGUUCCAAACCCGUUGCAUCUCACUGUCCCCACAAAACCACAAGGCAGGCACCACCACUGUCACAGCAGACAAGGAAACUGAGGCUGAGAGAGGGGCAUAAUUUGCCCACAGUCAUAUCCUGGAGGUGGUGCAGCUGAGACUCAAACCCAGGCCAUCUAUCUGGUGGUGUAGCUGGAGGGUGCAUGACACCAGCCACUGGGGCAAGAAAAUAAAGAGAAGUCCUAUUUCUGUUCAGUUUACUCUGAGUAUUCACGUUUUACCACUUAGUACACCUGUGACCCUGAUGAUGCCCUCCCUCAGUCUGCGCUGAGCCUGGUGUCUGAGCUAAGGGAUGAGGUGCAGUGGGGGGAGAGCAGGCUUCCACACCAGCCAAGGCUGACAGCGGCCUCGCUCCCUCUCAGGCCUGCAGGCUAGACAGCCUGCUUAAGUGGGUUUCUGGAUCCCUUUGGAUAGGAUCUUGACAACACUUUUAUAAAGUAUAUAAAGUGAAAUGGGGAGUGAUCAUGAAAAUCUUUUACACCCUUCAGAGGUUUAUUGUGGUUUUUCUGCACUUAAAAAGAUGGAAACAGAAUUUCCUAACCUGCUUUACAAUCUGUCAAAUAAACAAUUUCAGUGGGUUUUGAACCUAUUUGUUAAAAAUAUUAAAAACGGGGGC